RNAcentral lists this ribosomal RNA (500 nucleotides) under uncultured bacterium. RNAcentral describes it as "partial 16S ribosomal RNA". It matches the Rfam family "Bacterial small subunit ribosomal RNA", at positions 30 to 523 of the family's 1533-position model. The record is from RNAcentral.
AUUGAACGCUGGCGGCAUGCCUUACACAUGCAAGUCGAACGGCAGCACGGGAGCAAUCCUGGUGGCGAGUGGCGAACGGGUGGGUAAAGUAUCGGAACGUGCCCAGUCGUGGGGGAUAACGUAGCGAAAGUUACGCUAAUACCGCAUACGAUCUAUGGAUGAAAGCGGGGGAUCGCAAGACCUCGCCCGAUUGGAGCGGCCGAUGUCAGAUUAGGUAGUUGGUGGGGUAAAGGCUCACCAAGCCGACGAUCUGUAGCUGGUCUGAUAGGACGACCAGGCACACUGGGCCUGAGAAGCGGCCCAGACUCCUCGGGGAGGCAGUAGUGGGGAAUUUUGGACAAUGGGCGGAAGCCUGAUCCAGCCAUGCCGCGUGCAGGAUGAAGGCCUUCGGGUUGUAGACUGCUUUUGUACGGAACGAAAAGGUUUGGGCUAAUAAGCUGAGCUCAUGACGGUACCGUAAGAAUAAGCACCGGCUAACUACGUGCCAGCCGCCGCAGUAA